RNAcentral lists this ribosomal RNA (565 nucleotides) under Haloarcula sp. S1AR25-4. RNAcentral describes it as "partial 23S ribosomal RNA". It matches the Rfam family "Archaeal large subunit ribosomal RNA", at positions 1 to 586 of the family's 2987-position model. Lineage: Archaea; Methanobacteriati; Methanobacteriota; Halobacteria; Halobacteriales; Haloarculaceae. The record is from RNAcentral.
CGACGUUGGCUACUAUGCCAGCUGGUGGAUAGCUCGGCUCGAGAGCUGAAGAAGGACGUGCCAAGCUGCGAAAAGCCUGAGGGAGCCGCACGGAGGCUAAGAACUCAGGAUUUCCGAAUGAGAAUCUCUUCACAAUUGCUUCGCGCAAUGAGGAACCCCGAGAACUGAAACAUCUCAGUAUCGGGAGGAAAAGAAAACGCAACGUGAUGUCGUCAGUAACCGCGAGUGAACGCGAUACAGCCCAAACCGAAGCCCUCACGGGCAAUGUGGUGUUUGGACUGACUCUCAUCAGCAGACCAUUUCGACGAAGUCCCUUGGAACAGGGCGUGAGACAGGGUGACAACCCCGUACUCGAAAUCAGUACGCUGUGCGUCAGUUCCGGAGUAGCGGGGGUUGGAUAUCCCUCGCGAACAACGCAGGCAUCGACUGCGAAGGCUAAACACUCCUCGAGACCGAUAGUGCACAAGUAGUGUGAACGAACGCUGCAAAGUACCCUCAGAAGGGAGGCGAAAUAGAGCUUGAACUCAGUUGGCGAUGGAGCGACGGGGCAUACAAGGUCCCGUGA